ACGAGCUGCAAUUCUUGGAAACUCAUCUGGAGGAGCUGGGCGCCGCCCAAGGUGAAGUUCUUCCACUGGUUGGCGUGUCAAGAUCGCUGCUGGACCGCGGAGAGACUUGCGCGCCGUGGCCUGCAACACCACCCACGGUGCCUCCUGUGCGACCAGGAACCAGAGACGAUUGGACACCUGAUGCUUGCGUGCCCAUUCACCAGGCAGACUUGGCACGAGGUCCUUUCUUGGCUACGCCUACCGGCACCGACACCCGAUCACGACGGCUCGCUCAUGGAUUGGUGGCUGCGCGCUAAGGAAUUCACACCGCCAGCGCUUCGCAAG
This 324-nucleotide ribosomal RNA is filed under the name Triticum aestivum (bread wheat). RNAcentral describes it as "partial small subunit ribosomal RNA". Lineage: Eukaryota; Viridiplantae; Streptophyta; Magnoliopsida; Poales; Poaceae. The record is from RNAcentral.